Molecule: ribosomal RNA, 101 nt
Filed under: uncultured bacterium
Lineage: Bacteria
Description: partial 16S ribosomal RNA
Rfam family: Bacterial small subunit ribosomal RNA
Source: RNAcentral
UACACACCGCCCGUCACACCAUGGGAGUUGGUUUUACCCGAAGCCGGUGCGCUAACUCGCAAGAGAGGCAGCCGACCACGGUAAGGUCAGCGACUGGGGUG